CAAUAGCGUAUAUUAAAGUUGUUGCGGUUAAAAAGCUCGUAGUUGGAUUUCUGCUGAGAACGACCGGUCCGCCCUUUGGGUGUGUAUCUGGCUCUUUCUUGGCAUCUUCUUGGUGAACGUUGCUGCACUUGACUGUGUGGAGCGCUACCCAGGACUUUUACUUUGAGGAAAUUAGAGUGUUUCAAGCAGGCAUACGCCUUGAAUACAUUAGCAUGGAAUAAUAAGAUAGGACCUCGGUUCUAUUUUGUUGGUUUCUAGAGCUGAGGUAAUGAUUAAUAGGGAUAGUUGGGGGCAUUCGUAUUUAACUGUCAGAGGUGAAAUUCUUGGAUUUGUUAAAGACGGACUACUGCGAAANGANNNGCGAAGGAUGUUUUCAUNGA
RNAcentral lists this ribosomal RNA (380 nucleotides) under uncultured eukaryote. RNAcentral's name for it is "partial 18S ribosomal RNA". It matches the Rfam family "Eukaryotic small subunit ribosomal RNA", at positions 592 to 976 of the family's 1831-position model. The record is from RNAcentral.